CUGGCGACCGGCAAACGGGUGCGGAACACGUACACAACCUUCCUUUAAGUGGGGAAUAGCCCGGGGAAACCCGGAUUAAUACCCCGUAAUAUAAUAGAGUGGCAUCGCUUUAUUAUUAUAGCUCCGGCGCUUGAAGAUGGGUGUGCGACUGAUUAGGCAGUUGGCGGGGUAACGGCCCACCAAACCUACGAUCAGUAACUGGUGUGAGAGCACGACCAGUCACACGGGCACUGAGACACGGGCCCG
This 246-nucleotide ribosomal RNA is filed under the name uncultured bacterium. Its description in RNAcentral is "partial 16S ribosomal RNA". It matches the Rfam family "Bacterial small subunit ribosomal RNA", at positions 88 to 334 of the family's 1533-position model. The record is from RNAcentral.